Molecule: ribosomal RNA, 254 nt
Filed under: uncultured bacterium
Lineage: Bacteria
Description: partial 16S ribosomal RNA
Rfam family: Bacterial small subunit ribosomal RNA
Source: RNAcentral
UACGAAGGGGGCUAGCGUUGCUCGGAAUCACUGGGCGUAAAGGGUGCGUAGGCGGGUCUUUAAGUCAGGGGUGAAAUCCUGGAGCUCAACUCCAGAACUGCCUUUGAUACUGAAGAUCUUGAGUUCGGGAGAGGUGAGUGGAACUGCGAGUGUAGAGGUGAAAAUUCGUAGAUAUUCGCAAGAACACCAGUGGCGAAGGCGGCUCACUGGCCCGAUACUGACGCUGAGGCACGAAAGCGUGGGGAGCAAACAGG